Xenopus tropicalis (tropical clawed frog) is the source of this 248-nucleotide long non-coding RNA. RefSeq lists it as uncharacterized. The transcript has 3 exons. The record is from RefSeq and is a predicted model, not a curated record. NCBI's taxonomy places the organism in Eukaryota, Metazoa, Chordata, Amphibia, Anura, Pipidae.
UCUCCGGUAGAAACCAUCUCAGACACAGGGGGAAGAUAGAAUCUCCUAGAGCUCCAUGAGGCAUGAGAACCUUGCUUCUGGGGCAGCAUUGCUGAGGCGGGGCAAUGACCAGAGGUUGGACCUUCAUGGAUCGACUCGGUCAAAGGUUGAACCUUUUGAGAGAAGCUUGAACUGAUAAUUCUGACUGGCUGAAAAGCACUGCCCUAAGUCUUUCAGGCAUUUCUGGAGUUAAUGGACUGCGUAUACCC